AACUCUUAGCGGUGGAUCACUCGGCUCGUGCAUCAAUGAAGAACACAGCUAGCUGCGAGAACUAAUGCACCUAUGCUGAUUAUUUGUUUCUGUUGGCCUCAGAUCAAGUUAAACCAAAGCUGUUGUCGAAUGUCA
This 135-nucleotide ribosomal RNA is filed under the name Labrus bergylta (ballan wrasse). Its description in RNAcentral is "5.8S ribosomal RNA (ENSLBEG00000018732.1)". It matches the Rfam family "5.8S ribosomal RNA". Rfam says of the family: 5.8S ribosomal RNA (5.8S rRNA) is a component of the large subunit of the eukaryotic ribosome. It is transcribed by RNA polymerase I as part of the 45S precursor that also contains 18S and 28S rRNA. Functionally, it is thought that 5.8S rRNA may be involved in ribosome translocation. Lineage: Eukaryota; Metazoa; Chordata; Actinopteri; Labriformes; Labridae. The record is from Rfam by way of RNAcentral.